ACUAAUAUAGUUUAAAUAAAAACAUUAAUUUUGUAAAUUAAAAAUAUUUUAAUUUAAAUUAAUAGUU
RNAcentral lists this transfer RNA (67 nucleotides) under Acropyga panamensis. Its description in RNAcentral is "tRNA-Thr". Lineage: Eukaryota; Metazoa; Arthropoda; Insecta; Hymenoptera; Formicidae. The record is from RNAcentral.